This is an RNA transcript of Malania oleifera, 3438 nucleotides long. It is a transcript of the gene named pentatricopeptide repeat-containing protein At3g26782, mitochondrial, with no coding region annotated. The record is from RefSeq and is a predicted model, not a curated record. The transcript is spliced from 3 exons. Lineage: Eukaryota; Viridiplantae; Streptophyta; Magnoliopsida; Santalales; Ximeniaceae.
GACCAAAUCCAUCGCCAUGGCUAUUCCAAUCGUCAAAUUUUUUCUCACUCUCCCAAUUCUCAUCGUCUUCUUCGCAAAUUUGGAAGCUCUCUCUGUAAUCACUGCCGAGCCUGGCACGAUCGCAGUCCCUUCGGCCUUCUUGCCUUCCGCCGCCGGCCCAAAUGCGUCGUCGUUUUUCCAUUCUCCGGCCACCCUUCACCAGGCUUCCGGCUCGGCGGCGGCGCUACCGCCAGUGCCCACCUCCGGCGAGUUCGUGGGGAGGAGUGCUUCCUCCGAUUCGGCUCAACUUGAUAUAUGGAUCGCUGGUUUUGCUCUUUUGGGCUUCACGAUUCUCGAUUGUUUGUAAACUGUAAUAACACAAAUGCUUGUUAUUGUUCUAGCCUGAGCACGUCCAUAUUAUCUUAGCUUCUUGUUUUAAAAUAUUUUAAUUUUUGAAUUUUUUUAAUGAAGAAUGCUUCCCUGUAGUCCCACCUUCUUGUUUUUUUUUUUCUUUUUCUUCAAAAAUAAUAAUUUAAAUAUAUACACAAAAUCUUCGAACAAUUAACUAACCUUGUAAAAAUAAGAGACAACAAAUUACUUGGUUCUUGAGGGGCACUUUGGUCUUUUAACUCUCGCCACUUACUUGUACACAACCCAAAUCAUGAAAAAAAAAAAAUUCCAACUAGCUUUGGUAGGAAUAACAUAAAAGAAAGAACAACUGAAAAUUUCAAAACGGGUGAAUGAAGAUUUUCUCGAACUUUAACAUAGUUGCAAUAAAAGAUUAUUGGCAAAUCUAUAGAACCCACUUCUCCACAAAUCCAAAUCUCACAACCCAUUUCAAUAAAUUCGUAGACAAGGCCAAUGUGUCCUCCUGGAACUCCGUCAUCGCCGAGUUGGCGCGGGCCGGCGACUCGGUGGAAGCCCUCCGAGCCUUCUCCUCCAUGCGACGGCUCUCUCUCAAUCCAGAUAGGUCCACCUUCCCCUGCGCCAUCAAAUCCUGCUCGGCGCUGUUUGAUCUGCGCUCGGGCAGGCAAGCCCACCAGCAAGCCCUGAUCUUUGGUUUUGAAUCCGACGUUUUCGUGUCCUCUGCUCUUGUAGACAUGUACUCGAAAUGCGGCGAGUUGGAGGACGCACGCACACUGUUCGACGAAAUUCCCCAAAGAAAUGUGGUUUCGUGGACUUCAAUGAUAGCUGGGUACACCCAAAAUGGAAGUGCCCAGGACGCAAUAUUGCUUUUUAAGGAGUUCUUGAUUGAAGAAAGUGGGAGGUGUGGAGAAUUGGGUGUUUGUAUCGAUUCAAUUGCUAUGGUUUCGGUUCUAUCAGCUUGUUCUCAUGUUUCAGGGAAGAGUAUUACGGAAGGGGUUCAUGGGUUUUUGGUAAAAAGUGGUUUUGAGGAGGAUUUAGGCGUUGGGAACACUUUGAUGGAUGCGUAUGCUAAGUGUGAUGAGAUUGGUGUGUCUAGGAAGGUGUUUGAUGGGAUGACUGAUAGGGACGUUGUUUCGUGGAAUUCGAUGAUUGCAGUGUAUGCACAAAAUGGAUUGUCAACAGAAUCUUUGGAAGUCUUUCAUCUAAUGUUGAAGAAUAGAGAAGUCUAUUACAAUGAGGUGACUUUAUCUGCUGUGUUGUUGGCCUGCUCUCAUUCUGGGUUUCUGCAAGUGGGGAAGUGUAUUCAUGAUCAGGUUAUAAAGUUGGGUUUGGAAGAGAACGUGUUUGUGGGCACUUCGAUUGUUGACAUGUAUUGUAAAUGUGGGAGAGUUGAGAAAGCAAGGAAGGCAUUUGAUCGUGUGAAGGAUAAGAAUGUGAAGUCGUGGACUGCCAUGGUUGCUGGCUAUGGCAUGCAUGGCCAUGCCAAAGAGGCUUUGGCUGUUUUUUACGACAUGAUAAGGUUUGGGGUCAAACCAAAUUACAUAACUUUUGUGUCAGUUUUAGCUGCUUGUAGCCAUGCCGGUAUGUUGGAAGAAGGCUGGCAUUGGUUCAAAGCCAUGAAUCAUGAAUUUGAUAUAGAACCUGGUGUUGAGCACUACGGAUGCAUGGUUGACCUUCUUGGGCGCGCUGGAUUUCUCAAUGAUGCUUAUGAUUUGAUUAAGGAAAUGAAGGUGAAACCCGAUUUUGUGAUUUGGGGUUCUCUUCUUGGUGCAUGUAGGAUCUACAAGAAUGUGGAGUUGGGGGAAAUUUCUGCAAGAAAACUGUUUGAAUUGGACCCAAAUAAUUGUGGGUAUUAUGUCUUACUUUCAAAUAUGUAUGCUGAUGCAGGAAGGUGGAAUGAUGUGGAAAGGAUGAGAAUAUUUAUGAAGAACCACAGGCUAGUAAAACCUCCCGGAUUCAGUUUGGUAGAAGCAAAAGGGAGGGUUCAUGUCUUUCUAGUUGGGGAUAAAGAGCACCCACAGCAUGAGAAGAUUUAUGAGUAUUUGGAGAAACUGUCUGUGAAGUUGCAGGAAGUUGGUUAUGUACCGAAUAUGACGUCUGUUCUUCAUGAUGUUGACCAAGAAGAAAAAGAAAUGACGCUUCGAGUUCAUAGUGAGAAGCUUGCUGUUGCGUUUGGAGUCAUGAGCACUGUCCCUGGUACAACAAUCCAAAUCAUUAAAAAUCUCCGGGUAUGCAGUGACUGUCACACUGCAAUCAAGCUGAUUGCCAAGAUAGUUAAUCGAGAAAUUAUAGUAAGGGACUCAAAGCGAUUUCAUCAUUUUAAGGAUGGAUUCUGUUCCUGUGGGGAUUAUUGGUGAUAUUUAUAUGAAAGGCAUUUUUUGCUAGAUCACAAGUUUACUGAUGAAGAAAUUUAAGCAGGUCAUCCCUAUCCACAUUUGAUUACACAGAUCAAAUGUGAAGCAUGAAAACCAAGGGGACCAUGAGGAGAUUGCAAUUAUCCCAAUUUUUGUUGUGCUAGAAGCUUCACUUUAAAUUUAGAGGCUUUGCUUGUGAAUUAAGAGUGUGGCUCUUUCCUGAUUAUGAAACAAUGGCCGGUGAAUUUACUGAAAGAGAGUAAUUUUGAGCAUAGCAACAGAUAGUUGAACUAUCAAUACCGUGAAAAAAAAUCUAUGAACUCUUGAAGAAGUACUACUCUCUGACAUUGCUGGACCUGAAUACGCUGCUAAGUACAAGACCUUGAUCUUCCUCGCAGGCUCUGCAUCGGCUGAGGUGAUUGCUGGUGUAGCUCUUUGUCCCAUGGAAGCUGUGAAAGUCCGUGUUCAAACUUAGCCUGGUUUUGCAAGGGGGGCUGUUGGAUGGAUUGCCCAAGUUUGUCAAAUCUGAAGGAGCUCUUGGGUUGUAUAAAGACAUUGUUCAUCCCUGGGGACGUCAGAUUCCCUGUAAGUUGACACUUGUAUUACGAGCUAUUUGUUGUUGUGUUCAUCUACAAGCUAUUGUUCGUCUACAGAUUAUUGAGCAAUGUCAUCUGUUUGAUAUUGGUUUCUUGUUUCUUCUGGAUUUAAAUGGAUUAAUGGUGAAAUGUAUUCUUGCAAA